This 204-nucleotide long non-coding RNA is filed under the name Ricinus communis (castor bean). Its description in RNAcentral is "long non-coding RNA (RCOM_LNC003693)". Lineage: Eukaryota; Viridiplantae; Streptophyta; Magnoliopsida; Malpighiales; Euphorbiaceae. The record is from RNAcentral.
UACUCAAUUUUGUUAACUUGCAUGGCGGAGUUACUUCAUAGUUCUUGUUGGGUUAUUUUAGUUUUUUUGUAUGAAUUACUUUUUUUGUUUGAUGUUUGAAUUGCACUAUUUCUAAUAUUGUCUGAUGAUUGUUUAAUUAGAAAUAUAAAAUUUAUUAUACUCUAAUUUGUUAAAAGUGGUAUGUGCUUGAAGAUUGGAGCUCGA